This 523-nucleotide ribosomal RNA is filed under the name uncultured bacterium. RNAcentral describes it as "bacterial SSU rRNA". It matches the Rfam family "Bacterial small subunit ribosomal RNA", at positions 338 to 862 of the family's 1533-position model. The record is from RNAcentral.
CCUACGGGAGGCAGCAGUGGGGAAUUUUGGACAAUGGACGAAAGUCUGAUCCAGCCAUGCCGCGUGCGGGAAGAAGGCCUUCGGGUUGUAAACCGCUUUUGUCAGGGAAGAGAUCUUCUGGGCUAAUAACUCGGGAGGAUGACGGUACCUGAAGAAUAAGCACCGGCUAACUACGUGCCAGCAGCCGCGGUAAUACGUAGGGUGCAAGCGUUAAUCGGAAUUACUGGGCGUAAAGCGUGCGCAGGCGGUUAUGCAAGACAGAUGUGAAAUCCCCGGGCUCAACCUGGGAACUGCAUUUGUGACUGCAUAGCUAGAGUGCGGCAGAGGGGGAUGGAAUUCCGCGUGUAGCAGUGAAAUGCGUAGAUAUGCGGAGGAACACCGAUGGCGAAGGCAAUCCCCUGGGCCUGCACUGACGCUCAUGCACGAAGACGUGGGAGGACGAACGAGAGUAGUAUACCGUACGGUACGUACCGACCGACCCGUAACCGACUAGUACACUAGUUGGUUAGGUAGGUUACCGUUC